CGCAAGGGGGAAUGCGUUGGUUCCUGUCGGAUCUGUUCCGCAGGCGAAGAGGGAAUGUGCCACCCAAGCACAGCCGCCCCCGCGACCGUGACCGGAGAGGUCCCCAUGCCACUGACCUGCACGCGCAGUCGGGAAGGCAGGUGGACCACGCGACAGCCCCAAGGCCGCCGCAAAUCCGCAAGCCGGGAGACCUGCCAACGGAGGACAACCGGC
This 213-nucleotide non-coding RNA is filed under the name Tritonibacter multivorans. Lineage: Bacteria; Pseudomonadati; Pseudomonadota; Alphaproteobacteria; Rhodobacterales; Paracoccaceae. The record is from RNAcentral.